CUUCUGUGUUCGGGAAGAGACCAACCCGUGACCCAGAGAAGGGGUUUCACAACAUGCAGAUGGAGGUUUCAGAAGUCCUCAGCUGGAGCAACUAAAUAUGACUGAGACAACACAGUCCCACAGACAAAGACGGAGUCUCGCUUUAUCGCCCAGGCUGGAGUGCAGUGGCACACUUUGUCACCCGGGCUGGAGUGCAGUGGCCCGAUCUCGGCUCACUGCAAGCUCCGCCUCCCAGUUCCUCAUAGAUUCUGGAUAUUAGUCCCUUGGCAGACGAAUCGCUGGCAAAUAUCUUCUCCAGUUGAGCAGAGAUGGGGUUUGACCAUGUUGGCCAGGCUGGUCUCCAACUCCUGACCUCAGAUGAUCCACCCGCCUUGGCCUCCCAAAGUGCUGGGAUUACAAGCAUGAGCCACCGUGCACAGCCAAAAUACACGGAUUUUUAUAAAGGCCCUGAAGUAAAGAGUGAGAAACUCUGAUGAGUUGCCGUUUUGUUGUGUUUAUAAGAGGAAAUGUGAACUUUGUGAUCGUUCCACACAUUCUUGCCACUUCCCUAAAAAAAAAAAAAUAAAAAAGUCACAAAA
Long non-coding RNA from Symphalangus syndactylus (siamang), 578 nucleotides. RefSeq lists it as uncharacterized. NCBI's taxonomy places the organism in Eukaryota, Metazoa, Chordata, Mammalia, Primates, Hylobatidae. The record is from RefSeq and is a predicted model, not a curated record.